UACGUUCCCGGACCUUGCACACACCGCUCGUCAAGCCAUGGAAGCUGGGUGUACCUAAAGUCGGUAACCGCAAGGAGCCGCCUAGGGUAAAACUAGUGACUGGGGCU
Molecule: ribosomal RNA, 107 nt
Filed under: uncultured bacterium
Lineage: Bacteria
Description: partial 16S ribosomal RNA
Rfam family: Bacterial small subunit ribosomal RNA
Source: RNAcentral